This 16865-nucleotide long non-coding RNA is filed under the name Oryza sativa (Asian cultivated rice). RNAcentral's name for it is "long non-coding RNA (OSAT_LNC001458)". The stretch from base 1746 to 1817 matches the Rfam family "tRNA". The record is from RNAcentral. Lineage: Eukaryota; Viridiplantae; Streptophyta; Magnoliopsida; Poales; Poaceae.
UUCCUUGUAAUGCGUUUGUGCUCCUUUUUGUCUGGGAUAGCUUUAUCAACCACCAAAGUUUUCUCUGACUUGGAAACUUUAGGCAGAGAAGAUUCCAUCGUAACGGAAUCGUGCCAAGGAAUUUCCUCCUUGGAGCCAUCAAGCAUGUUCAGUGGUUUGAUAUCAUUAUUAACAACACUGAAUGGGGCAGGCACAGCAUGUGCUGACUGAUACAUCACACGAUGCUUAGCCAAAUCUGUAUCGACAUGUCUAUUUACAAUUGAAUUAGAUGGUCCUCUUUCUCUUUGAUUAUACAAGGAAGGAUAGUUUGAACUCCUGAUAUCUUCUGAGGGAUCAUGACGCAGAUUUCCAACCCGCAGAGGAGUAGUGCCAUUAGUGAUGUUGUUUCUGACACUGUUUGUGGUCCUGAGGAAAAAUAACCUCUUGGUUUCAUCAACCCAUUCUUGCACACUACUUUGUACAUUUAAGUUGCCAUACAAUCCAAGCCUGAAAGCACCGGUUUUGCUAACCCCCAUGCCUGAACUAGGAGAAUAAUCUUGCCUGCCAACGAGAACCAUUUGCAAAGUUCAGAAGCACCCAAGAUCCCAAGCAAUGUGAAAUCAUCAAGUAAUAAGGCAAAAGCGCGGCAUUCAGGAUAGUGACAGUAGAACCUAGUUACUCUUUGGCAGAUUACUAUUAUCGGGCAAUUCGUACUUCUGUAGUAAUAAUUGUAUGGCUAUAAGAAGUGGAAUGUGACUACAUAAGGAAUGCUUAGAUCUCUUAAAACAAAAUAAAAAUAUAUAUAAGGAUUAAGGAAUGCUAAUCGACACUAGCUCAAAUGAGGAGACAUAUCCGAAGUCCUACACAGUCUAGAUAAAUCAUCACAUUAGAACAUGCGAAAAAUAUGCAUACACCCAUCCAUUAACCAAAACAUCAUUUACUCCCUCCGUUUCACAAUGUAAGUCAUUCUAGCAUUUCCCACAUUCAUAUUAAUGUUAAUGAAUAUAGACAUAUAUAUUUAUCUAGAUUUAUUAACAUCAAUAUGAACGUGGGAAAUACUAUAAUGACUUACAUUGUGAAACGGAGGAAGUAUUAUUUUUCAUCACGAAUUAGGCACUACGGAACAUCUUAACAACUACUAGCAAAGAAAAAGGCUUAUGCAAUACACACAAAUAAACAGUACGGCUACCUUCCUCCCGCGGCGAAGGCCGGGCGCGACAAGUAGCGGGUGCGGCGGAAGGGAGAGGACAGCCACGGCGGCGGCCGCGGCGAAGACCCCUUCCACCGCCGUAGCUGCCGCGCCGGUGCCGGCGGCAGCGGCGGCGCCACCGCCAUGGACCUCACGAGCCGCCUCAGCUUGGACCCCGCCCGCCUCCCUCCUCCUCCUCCCGCAACGCCACCACCCACCCCGCAACCGAAGCCGCAGGGCGCCGUCUUGCACCGACGCAAGGGUAGGCCGCUGCAGCAGCAGGCGGUGGCCUCGCGGCGGCGGCGGCGGCGGCCGGAGGCGGAAGCGAGGGGAAGGAGAGAGGGUUUGGGAGACAAGGGGGACCAGGGUUUAAGCGGCGGCUGCACCUGCACUACUCGGCUUGGACCCUGGAGGCUUCGGCGGAUUACGCCUCCGUUGAAUGAAGGCGUAGAAGAACCCGUGUCUAACGAACUGAAGGCGUAAAAUCCGUUGCUCACUAUUCGUGUACAAGGCGUAUUUCUGAUUUCGAUGGUUUUAGUUGCUUAAUUAAUGUUAAAUUGAACAUCUUAACAAGGCCGGAUCCGUGGCGCAAUGGUAGCGCGUCUGACUCCAGAUCAGAAGGUUGCGUGUUCGAUUCACGUCGGGUUCAAAAUCCCCGAACCAAGUCCGGAAAUAUUUUUUUUAUUUUUCCAACAAAAUCCUUUUAUCCAUUUAUCCAUUAUAGUUUUCAGUGCUACUUUUAUUUUUUUUAGAAUCUUCAUGAUCAGAGAUUUUUUUAAAGUUCUCCUAACACGAAAGAAACACAGAUUAGAUUCUAAUGUAUACAAGCUUUGGCUUUUCUUACAUCAGUGGUGGUCUCCUAGUGCUCUUAACAACCUUCUCAUUAUAAGAAGAGGGAAGAAGCAAUAGUUUCCCCGUCAACAAGAAGUUGUACCAUCUUCUUCUCCACCAAUAUAUUCAACCAGUAAGGAAGAGUCUUGCCUUUAUUAAGAUGGUCAUAUAUGGGUAGAGAAGAAGAUAUAUACAACUUCUUGUUGAUGAAAAUUGUUGUUGUUUCCAUGUCCUUAUAAAGAGAAGGUUAUCAACAUAAGCAGGCAUUCAAAUGGUGUAAAAAAGACCACAUUAUGUAGGCACUUGAAUGUAACCUUUUACUGUUCUAGCGGUUGAACCUCCUUUUCUCCCAAAGACGUGAGACUACUAAGGGCAUGCCCAACGCAGUGACCCAGGUCGUGGGUUCAAGCUUCAGCUAGGCUCAGAUACCAUGCUUGAGGUUUGUGAGUGGCUAGAGUGCUUUCUGCAAGCCACGAGUAGCCCCGAUGAAAAGGAGGUGGUCCAAAUAAGAAAUAUGGAGAGAGAUAAAGGAGUAUGUGCGAGGAUGGACUGACUAACCAAGGGAUGCCACCACCGUCAACCAGGAAAUGUUACCGCAGUCAACCAGAUCCAGCGAGCGGUUGUUGCAGCCACAGAGGGGGACUUGACCAUGGCCUGAUCUGGUGAACAGUUGUUGCCGCCACGGAGGAGGACUUGGCCAUGGCCUGAUCUAGCAAGUACAUGGCAUCCAUCGGCUUGAGCAGCCCUGCGUCGCCACAAAGCUCAUCAACCCUAGCCACCAACGAUCUAUGCAACGAUGGAGCUCGUCACCCCAAGCCAUGGCCUGGACGUGGUCGACGGUGCCGACUAGGAAUGAGAGGAUAUUAGCGGGAGAGAAAGAGCAAGCAAUGACUGGAGAAGAGUCGUCGAGGUAUCGUUGUCUUUAAUUUGGUCGUUGAUUUGGAUGGGGGAGAAGUGAGGAGGGGGUUAGAGAGAAGGGAGGCGAGGACGAGGUGGGCAGAGGCACGGCGGUGAUGGGCUAGGGGCGCAAAGAUGGGUUUCUACGAGAGAGAGAGAUAAGGACGGGGUGGGGAAGAACGAUCUUUUCAUGGAGAGAGAGAGAGAGAGAGGGGGGGGAGAAAAGUGGGGAAAGUGUUUUUGGUAGUGGCCCCCCAAGUAUCAAUGAUUUAUGAACAAUGGUUUUGAUGGUAGUUCCAACAACUUUUGCCAACGUGAAGGUUGGAACCAUUGGUUGAGACUAUGAUACAUUGCUCAUUCCUAAUAGAACAAAAUGUCAGAUAUGCGGUGUUUAGACUCCUGAGUCAGUAAGGUAAUUAGUGGCUUAAUAAAAAGACGUGGUAAAAAUUUUAGUAGCAUAUAAGGUAUUUACCAAUAAAGAAUUGGGAAUUACUAUUGGACAUUCGCCUACUUUCUCGAUCUAUCACAAGCACAUCCCUUUUUUCCAUUAGAUUCGCACGGAGAUGUGUGGGCUGCCAGAGUUGUCUUGGCAAGCUCGUGAGCAAAAGCCACAACACCAUCUUCUCUGAUGAGUUUCUAAUAAGGAGGACGGACAUGAGGUUCCCUUGGCUUAGAGGGGAUGCCCAUAGUGGACCAAAGGGUGGUGGCUAGGUGGUGGUUUCACAGCGAAUUCAUGGACUCAAGGGUGAGACAGGUGUUAGAGGCAACGGGCAUAAACGAAAACCUAAGCAGCUAGGAGAAAAUGGGAAGCUAUGGUACACAAUGUUUUCCUCUUCCAUGAUAUAUAGAGAAUGUUGACAGAGCACGGAUAGUAGAAGGUCUUGUUGGAGCCGAGAAAUGUCACAUUACCAUUCACUCAAGCCUAUGUUUUCAUUCCAUUGGUUGAACCCUUCUCUUGAAUACGUAUGUACCACUUCUACAAUAAUAAAUAACUUGCUUUAUUUCUUCAUUCACGUGGACCACAACUCAAUUCCUGUUGCUUUGUUGUUAGCAUGAGUACUAACCCUUAUGGGAGCCCAAAAAUAUCAUGUUAAACAUAUGCUUAACUUUUUCUCAAAUGGUUGAAACACGUUGUUUACAUACAUAGGGACCAUUACUAGAAUAAUAAUAAACAACUUAUCUUGUUUCUUAUUCACGGAUCCCAUGGUUCAGCCUUCACUGCUAUUCCUCACCUAGUGCACUGCCACCUAGUUGUAAGGGAUUAUCUUACUACUACUUGAAAAGUAAUUUUAUAACGGAAGAUGCUUUACGUUGUUGGCUUAUACACCAAAUAUGUAACCUAGCCUAGAAUUAGAAAUAAAUGAAAAUAAAUCAAAUAACUUAAAACAGUGGGACAAACCCAGAACAUGCUAUAGAUAGUAAACAAGUGAAGAAGUGUCAAAAGAAAAACAAUAAAUGAGAAAACCCGAAAAACAAUAAAUGAGGAAACCCCUCCUGCUGGAAGAUACCAGCACACACUGUAGAAACACACAGCCCUGCCCCUUCAGUUGUGCUCUUCAGUUCUACAUGUAAAGUCUGCAACUCAGGAUAAACAAAUUCAUCAGCCAAUCUAAGAUAUUGGAGGAAACCAAACUAGAUAAACAGAGUUUCUAGUUUGAUUCCCUCCAAUCCUCACGUUGGGUGACCGAAUGUCAUCAUCUCUCUGAAUUUUGACUGAAUGUCUGCACCUCUCUGAAUUUUUACCAGUAUGUACGUGUAACCAUUCAAUGUGAGAUAUUAGAAGAAACUGAACCAUCCAUCUUUUGUUCCAGAUGGGUGUGAUUCAGUUCCCUCUAAUCCUCACUUUGAAUGACACAAUCGUAUUCUUCGAAAAUCUGUUCUUUAUCUGUAGGCUGUAGCUACAAGUCAAUUUGCUGAAGGUGAGAUAUUGGAGGAAAACAAGCUGAUCAGUGAUCUGCUGGAGUUGUCUGAUCAUCAGUCAGUUUGCUUUCAUCCAACUCUCACUUUCAGUGCUUGACAAACACCUCAAAACUAGCUAGAACAGUACAGCUCAGGAACAACAAAACCAUACAUGUUCAGAUGCUCCACACUAAUAACCCUGCAUUGAACUCUGAAGGAAUUGCUCUGCAGCUAGACCCAAUUUAUAGCCAUCCUGGAAAUAAGUAUAUUCCUCAGAGUUGAGAAGGGCAUUUGUUUCUGUUUCAUCUGUCCUUCACGCCCAAAAUGUGUUAUGUCCUGAAAAAGAACAAUAAGCUGUCAGACUUUGUGCUCUGUACUUUGUACUAGUGAUCCUGUACAUGCAGCUUAUUCAGAUUGUGAGUUACUGGAUGAGACCAUAUCAUCUUUUUCUCUCGGAAGACUGAAAUUCUGGCCUAAGUUUCAGGUUGUGAGGAAUGGAGGUGUCAAGAGUUAACCUCUGUACUAAUUGCACAUUGUCAUACAAGAAUAUGUAUACACUAGCUUUAAUCAGUGGAUCAAAUCACACAGGCACAUCUAGUCGUUCACACAAAUUUGUUAACUUAAGAACUCAAAAUGCAUCUCAAAGCAUGCGAAUGUGACAGGCCUACACAAUUGCUUAACGAAUGACAGCUUCUAGAGAUGAGAAGUUUUUAUUUCCUGUAAAGAUUAGCAAAUUUCCAAAAAAUUGGUUUAAGCACUACAAAUGCAGAGUUUACCGAUAGAAUACUCAUUUAGGUACAUCUCGGCAUAUACAGAACAUAAGAACAUUAGACAUCGUACUUACCAUCCGAUUCCAGAAUAGCAAGGAACAAUGUUCACCUUUAUUUUUUUUAAAUUUCUUGUGGAGGUGGUAAAAAUGUAUCACAAAUUUUGUACAAGCAGCACACAUUUACAAUUUACAGACAUUGUACAAGCCAUGCAGUGACCUAGUAAAACUGCAGCGCCAUCUAUAAAAAGAAUUCAUUGCAUGCAAUUUUUUCUCUUAUACACAUAUGCAAUGCAACGAAUUCUUUUUAUAGAUAAUGCAUAGCAAUUUAUGUAAAACGAAAAUAAAUUAUAUACUUGCAAGUGUAUACGAUAGCCAUUAGACUCAAGUUUCAUAUACACAUAUUGAAAUAACGGAAAGUACAUAUGCAAUGUUGUUUAUUCAUUUUGGUUUUCUUUUUUCUAGUGUAUAGUUGUAUACAAAUUAAGGGCAAAAGGGACAUUUUCUAACAAAAUUGUUGACUAGAAAUAGCCAUAUGGCAUAUUUAGUGAGUCCAAUGAUGAUUUUAAGCCAAAACAAAUACUAAAUACUUAGAACAGCUAUAUGGAUAAAAUGAAACUUACAGGAUCAAACUGAGUCUUUGGUGAAACUUAAGGGACUAAAUUAGUUAUUCACCCAAAGAAAAACCUCAGCAAGAAACGAAUCCACCCAAGAUCCCCCCAAAGAAACCCCCACCACUUGGCACCGCAGAACCCGCCGCCGCCGCCACCGGCUCCCUUGAAGAGGGCGUCCAGCAUGUCCCCCCCGGAUGAAAUUGGCUCUCGAGAGCAAGGCUGCAUCGUGGGGAUUCGAUCUAAAUAGCAGUAGCAGCAUCAGCGGCGACGGCGGGAGGUGGGAGAUGAUGAUGAGGUGGAGGCGGCGUCGCUGCCGGUGUACACGUAGCACCUGCUCCACUUCGGGGAGGGAUCUGGGCCGUAGAUGUGGACACGUGUACGGUGGAUGGGUGGUUUGAGUUUUUUUUUCCUAAAGAAGUUUGCAUCACCGACCGAUGCUCUAAGAGCUGGUAUAAUAGCAGACUAUAAACCAGCUAUAAACACAUGUCAAUGAGAUAAAAGAAGAGAGAAGAGCAGCGGGCUACAGAUUUAUAGCCAGCUACAACACAGAUUCCAAGAUACACGUGUGUAUGAUAAGUGGGACCAGGUAUUAAUUGUGUACUAUAUGUUAUAGGUAACUAUUGUAUGAAUUGGCUAUUAAAUUGACUAUUGGAGCCAAUAGUUGGCAAUACUAUUAAACUUUCUCCAAGUACGUUUUGAUUCCAUGAUUCCCAAAUAGAACUUAGAAGAACAUGGAUUUCGGGAAAGAUCUAAGGCAACUAUUUCAACUUAGCUGCUCCUCGAUUUCUGUUAGCAUGAUUUUUAAACUGUUAAACGGUACAUUUGAAGUAUUAAACGUAGACUAAUGACAAAACAAAUUACAGAUUCCGCCUGUAAACUGCGAGACGAAUUUAUUAAGCCUAAUUAAUCCGUCAUUACCAAAUGUUUACUAUAGCAUCAUAUUGUUAAAUCAUGACGUAAUUAGGCUCAAAAGAUUCGUCUCGCAAUUUAUAUGCAAACUAAGCAAUUGGUUUUUUUUCAUCCAUAUUUAGAUAGUGUUUGAAUCUCCUGAAGAUGAAGAUUAAGUGUUUCACGCAAAACAAGAUGAUAAUAACAUAUGAUUAAUUGAAUUUUAAUUACUACAAACUUGAAAAAUGGAUUAAUCCGACAUUUUAGAGAGCAACUUUCAUAUAGAAAGUUUUCGCACAAAACAUACCGUUUAACAGUUUGAAAAACGUACACGAGUAUCGAAAAUUUCAUCUCCUCCUUGUUAGAGAAACGAACAAGCCCUUAUUGCUUCAUGUAUGUGUCCAAACAUUUGAUGUAACGAAAUUUUUUAAAGUUUGAAGGGAACUAAACACUGCCCAAGUAUCUGAAAGUCUCAUACAGGUCAGUAUCUACUGGGGUCCCUACAGUCAAAUCCAAAUCUAACUAUCAGACAGGCUACUUCUGUACAUUCAGCUACUGCCAGUGAAAGAGUCUUCAGCCUAUUCGGCCCUCGUUGGAUGCUCUGCCUCUGCCACCGAAAAAAUGGACGUGUGAUCUUGUGUUCCUGUGGGUGAUGGGGGUGGCACUUCGAGUGCUUGAGCGGCUUUGCAUCUCUUAUCUAUGCUGGCUCAGUCCGCUGUAUUUCGUCAGGAUGGAUGGGCAGUCUUCAUCGCAUCGGCGACACAUAACUUUGGUGUCGCCUAACUUUGGGGCAGACAAAUGUGUUCAUCUGGCUAUGUAUAGGGCAGAAGAACUGAGUGUGGAUUCUACUUGGCAGCAUACCAGCUCUUCGCGUACUUGGCGUCGACAGCUAGGUCAACCUUGAGGAUGUUGGUUCCAUAGAAAGGCUUGGACAUGCACUCCACAACGAUGGCCUUGGCCUCCUCGGCAGAUUCUGUAGGCCCUUCCAAGAUCACUUCAUCAUGCACCUGGCAGAUGCAGACAUAACAUUUGAGGACAAUGUACAAAUUCAUUCUGGGGAUCAAAAUAAAAUACUCUGAAAGAACACAAAACGUAGCUCUUAAAUAUGAUGUAAAUCUUUGCUUCGCCAAAUUCUUUGAAAGAAAGAAACAAUGGUGGCCCCUUUCGUCUGUGCCUUCAAAUACCAGCCUAAGUACUUCCUUUUGUAAACGUAGGAGUGUUAUUGUCAUAAACCUGCAAUAGGAGUCUCCAACCAAGCUCCUUAAGGCGAGCGUUUCUUUCUAUCUCAAGCAUUGCACACAUAGCAACAUCUGCUGCACUGCCCUAUGUAUCACAAAAGGUAGGAUUUAGACAUCCCAAAAUUGAACAAGAACAACCAUUGUGAUACAACUAAUAGGAAUUACCUGCACUGGUGCAUUUAUAGCAGCACGCUCGACGUGACUCUUUUGACCAGGACCCGCAUGAGUCAUAUUAGGAAAUUGGCGUGAUCGCCCGAGCAAAGUGUAGACUUCGCACUUCUCAAACGCAAGGGCUUUCUGCUUCUUUUGCCAAGCUGAAAUUUCCUUUCUAUCCCUAUGCCAAAGUUUGAGUGUAUCCCUUGCUUCCCUAACUUCAACCUGCCAACACAAUAAGCUACAACUCUGGAACUGAACUGAUUGUAACAAAACAUUUACUGAAUAAUACUCCUAUGUGACAUCAUGUUGUGUACAAAAACAAGAUGAAACCCAACAAGAAAAACUGAACAAGGGAAUAUGAUAAAUGCAUGCACAAGCCUGUACAAAUAGAAGCCCAUACAUUCCAAUCCUGAGAUAGACCAACAGCAGUCUUCCCAUAUGCAAUGGAGAAAUUGAGCAUUUUGGCCUUCCUCCUCUCAGCGCCAAAAGCAUCCUAAAAAAAUAGAAAUAGAAACAUCAAGUUUGGUUUAACUCCAUACCUAUUAGUAUAUAGCCUUAUACCAUUCUACCGGGGGUCCAGAUAUAUAUAAAAAAAUAAAUACAUAUGGAAUAUGUAUGCCAAAUAACAAUUGAUAAAAAGCACUAUAUGCAACUUGCCAACUUCUUCAAAGCAGAAAGAAAACAUGAGGCCCUAACAUAUAUUUGUAUGACAAGUGAGGUUAUCAAAAUUAAAUUCGACACUUUUUUGUGUAAUGAAGUCAUGUUAUCCGACAAAUUAUGUGGAGCACUAGGCACAACUGUCACAGAAUUCACAUGUUCAAAUUUCUUUAAAAAAAAUGCAACAAAGAUAUAUUUCUCAAUAACUAAAAGAAUUAAAAUUUGACUGAAUGAACUACAAAUGAAGGUAAUCAUAUUCCAUCUUAUCACAAUAAGCAAACAGGACCAAAAUCUUACGUAAUUCAAAUGAAAUCAAAUCAAGUACAACUUCGAGAGAUAAGCUGCUGUCAGAAAAAGUUAGUGAUACUCAAGUACCUUCAAUAAUGGCACUGGGGGUUUGUCUUGACCUGGUUGAGGAUGCCAUUCAAGCAGAACUUUCUUUUCUUCAACAGCAUCACGAACAUGCUGGUACAUAUUCAUGGCUGUCCUAGAAUGAAAGUCACCACCAGCCUUGAAAGCUUCCAGCAUGCUUUUACAAUUAGUAAGAUGCGCCAAGAUCCUCAGUUCCAGCUACAUAAAAAAGGAAGACCUUUUAUCAGGUGGAACUGCUAAGUGAAGUAAAAAAAAAAAAAAACUUACUAUUGAGAACCACGAAGCAUACUUGGCCAUAAUCAGCAACAAUAAGAGUGUUCCCUGGAGCUGCGACAAAAGCUUGGCGAAUCUUGUACCUAUCCUUUUCAAGAGCAGGUUGAUUCUGCAAGGAAGAUAACUUAGUUCAAAAAAAAAUAAAAUUUACAUAAACGAUAUAGCACCACUCUAACAAUAAAAACUGAUGCAUUUGUCAGAAGUAAUAACAAAUUUAGCAAGGGUCCAAAUACCCUUGAUGAUGAAGCAUGGUAAUAAUCAAAUAUCCUGAAAUAGCAGACAGCUUAUUGACUAAAUGAAUAAUUCAAAUGUGCGUCCUGAAGCCUGAGGUUGGCUACACAAAAUAAGUUUGCCGGAUGGUGAGCCAUUUCAUCAUUCCUAAUUUAUAUUGCCAAUUUGCCAUGUUUGUUUUUCCUUUCAUUCUCCUAUCCAUUGAUGAAUGAAUAAAAUGAUUAUGGAGUAUCAUACUUCUACAGAGCAUUUUAUUUAUAUUGCAACUGGUGAACGCUGAAGUUUGAAGCUAACAUUAGUUCCUGUGCUUUAUGAAAAAUCGAAAUUGAUAGCAUAUGCAAACUAAAGCAGUCCACAAAGUAUCCCAUCUGUAGCGGUCAGUGGCAAGUUGAUGCAAAUAAGAAUGCAUGCAUAUACUCUGGAAAACACUCAUACAGUGACUCUGUGGAACAGCAGUCUUAUACUGCUUACAUACACAGUGGUAGAACACACUCAAACCAGGCAAAAGUCAGUGAGAAGGAGCCGACACCAAUCUGCAACAUACUUUUGUCUUGAAAGAACAUACAGACCAUUUAUAUAUUUUUCAUCCUUUACUUGACAAUAGCAUGGUGUACCAUCAGCAUGUGCUUAUUGACAACCCAAAUGUGAACUGUGAGGUACUGAUGCAACAUUCCAAAAAAUGCAAAAGAGGCAUACCUGCAAGCUUGGUGUUCUUGCUGACAAGCGUCCUGUUUCAGUAUUGAUAUUUAACGAACAGUGAAUGCGCCCUUCCUUACAUGAUAUAUGAUCUCCCUAUCAUGGAUAAAGAGGAGUCAAGACUCAAAUAGUAGGUGCAACUUAGAAGUUGAGUGCAGUUAGCUGAGACUAUUGGUAUCAUGCACCAAGUAUACACCAUAGUUGUCCCUCACACAAACAACACAAGUUGGAUCAGCACCAAGACUACAGUAGUAGCACCCUUAAGCCUCAAAAUAUAUAAUCAAAACAGACCAAGUGAUCAUUGUUUAACCAAAGUAUUAAAUUACCAAAUUAAGAUAUCAAACAGCACUAAUCGAAAGAACCAAAUUUCAAACUUGAUGGACUGACAAUGCAUUUAACUGAAUUCCAUGCUCUCCCUACAAAAAUUGCAUGAUGACCAAAUCACCACAUUUAUGGUGCAUGCUGAAGCCCCAAAGUUUCAAGAGCGUGAGGUGAAAGAACAUUGGAGCUGUCAGGACUCAGGACACAUAACACCAGCACAAAUUGAUUUGCAUUAUCAUUUAUAAGUACAUGCAAUGAGUGAUGUCUUAAGAAUGGCAACUUCAAUCAGCAUGACUAAGAUCCUGGCUCACCUGCAAUGGAACAAUGAAGCCGGAUAUCAAUUUGUCAAUAGAAAAGACUUCACAUAGAGCAGCAAUGGCAUGACAUGCUUCCCUUCCCUUCUUUCCUCCACCAAACGCUUCAUAUGCAGUUCCAUAUGGGGAAGUGUCUUCUAUAUCCUGCUCAGGAAGUUCCACACUGCUCCCAUCUUCAUCAAACUCUUGGCCAUCAUCAUCAAUUUUAUAUAUAUGAUCUGUGGGUAUUUUACCAGCCAAACUCCAUAAAACGUCCCCACGGACUUUAAGCCAGCCAGUCUUUGUAGUCUUCUUGCCCUCUGUAGUGAAAAGUUUAAGAUCUUCCACAAUAGUGAAAAGUUUGAUUGUGCGAGACUUUGGAAUCUUCUUGCCCUCUGUAGCUAUGCUUUCAUCAUUUGGCACUUUAAAAGCUUUACUUUGUGGCCAAGUUUCACCAGGCUUAUUUCUACGACAAAGAUUGUGAAGCUGACAAGAAUUAUACAUAAGAAAUGCUAAGCAGAUAAAUGUAAAGAAAACAAUCAUUUUUACAGAAAUUACGCACAAGCAAUAACUCACAGUUACUACUUUUUCUUAGAAAUUACAUAAACGAAAUACCUAGAACAAAUAGAAGGCAAAGAUAGAUUCUCUCGUUUUCCCCCUCUUGUUGAUAUGAAGGAUUAUUCAUGUGUUGGACACACAAGAACAACUUGCUAACCAGUUUAAACCAUGCGUACACCAAUGCAUAUAAGAACAGCAAGCAAUUAUUGGUUUUAACACAAACUAAAGCAAAAAUUAAUGAUAUUCUUUUACAGUGGUUCCUAAAUGACAUGCAUUCAAAAAGAUAUCCUGGCAUAAAGUAUAUACGGAUCAAGCAGGCAUACAAAGAGAUCAUACAAGGUGGUGGGAAUACCUAUUUUUGAUGCCACCAAAGAAAAGUUGGCGAAUUUGAUUAUCACUAUUCACAUUCAUGUACUUGGCAUCAGGACAAUGCUUAGAUGCCCAUUUCCGAAACUUAUCCGCUGCUAAUUUUCGUUCAACAACAGCAGUUUUCUCAAUCUCCGAAAGGUAUGCACGGUCAACAAACAUUCCCUCUGUUUCCAUCUUUACAAGAAGAGCACCAAAGGGACGCCAAUACUCUUCGUAGAAAUCAUACAUUGUUCCUCUAGGACAACCAUCGAAAAUCCAUUCCUUUGCUUCAAGCUUGUUUUUCAAGCUUUCAUAAAGCUUCAAUGUACUCAUUGAAUCUAGUGAGGAAUAGCAAAUCCACAACUCUCUAUCCUCCCUUUGUAACUUUUUGACUGGCUCGAUAGAUAUGGUUUUCCCUUCAGAUCCAUUUUUUCUAACAUUUUUCCGACCAAAAAUAGUUUUCAUUGACACCUUCCCAGUUUUAUGUAUGUCCUUUAGAACAGCAUUCAUGAUUCUGUGAUCAUUUGUUAGUCCUUCAAGUGAAUAUCCACCAUCAGCUCUCCUGGAAGAAUCCCACAGGCGUGCAAGAUGCAUUGUAUCAGCAUGAAAUCCAGCAACCUUGAUUCCACAGUUCUCAAUGACAUGGCUAUCAAAACUAUAGUUAUGCCAAACCUACAUGAUGAGGAGAAAGAACAGAUCACUUCGGACAAGCCAGCAAGAAACAAAUAUAAUAAUAAUUGAUGGGUAAUGACCAAUCUGUAGUUUUCUUCCGAAUCGUGCAUUUCAAAGAUAACAGCUUGAAGGCUGAAACAAAUAAUUAGCAUAAUAAUUUCAUACUCCCUCUGGGCUCCAGUCAUGAAAACACGCCGCUUUGGACAUACAUUAAGUUAAACUAUCAGAACUUUGACCAUCAAUAUCUUUCAAAAUAUUUAAUCUUGAUAUAUGAAACUCAUAUGUGUAUAUUUGUCACCAAACUUACUACCCCCUCCAGUCACAAAAAACAUCUCGUCUUGGACAUGUUUGAAGUCAAACUUUAAAAAUGUUGGCAUCGAUAUCUUUUAACUAUUUAGAUUUAGAUUGGAUACAUGAAAAUUGUACUUGUAGAUUUUUCUCAAAAAGUACUUCCACAAUAUUAGAAUUAUAUCGGGUUCCUUUAGCAUUUUGCAAUAGAAAAUAGUUUUCGUGACCAGAAUAUCAUAAUAUUAUAAUUUUAUAGGGUCAUACAAAUAUACUAUAACAGAAAUAAGUUGUCAAAGUUGUAUUUCGGGGACUGUGUCAAUGCCUAAAACAACAUUUUUUUUCUAAGCGAAGUAGUAGGAAAUAUGGGGCUCUGGGGUACGAAGAUGUGAAUCUAAUCAAUCUUUACCUAUUAUAGAAAUUGAAGAUGAUUCUGUACUCAAAAUUUUCGUCCGUCCUCUACUCCGCUACCACAUUGGUCUUUGACUCUGUACACAGCGCAUGUCCUCCUUUUUCAGUACCCUGGAUUGGCCAGGUCUUUUUACCACUGACCCUACCUGGGUCGGCUGGCUGCAUUGACCGAUCAUGAAUUCAUGGCCUACUUAGAUCAGAUGGGUCUACUGUCCCAAGCUAGCCAUGAAGCUCUUCACCUCUCUGGUGAUGGAACAGUUCCCGCGUGAACAGUGGCUGAGGUGAAAUGUUGUUCCCUUGUGAUUUUCAAAAAUAGAUUUUUUUUUUCUCUAUCUCUUCCCUUUCCAUUUUUAUAAAUAUUUUAUUCAUGAUUUUCAGACCUGGUACACCUGUGUGCAGAUUUGACUUUCCAUAGACCUACAUUUAUUUCUAGCCUCACAGAUCUACCCAAAAGGACUAUCCAAUGGAAUUUCAGUUGAUUCAUAGCCAAAUGGGUGCACUUUUGAGAAAAAGAUAAAACAGUGUUCUUUUCUGCAUCAGUUCUGUUAAGAAUAUUUUUAGAACGCGCAGGAGAUCUGCGUACAUUUCAUUACGAUAGAGGAAAAAAGGUGGACGGUGUUAGAGAUAAACUCCGACACCCACCCACCCGGAAGUACAACACCAACACCACACGUCCACAAGAAGCAAAACAAACCUAGUGACCUAGCACUGCAGCCCUAGACUGGAACCUUCUCCAUUUUGUUCUAGCUCUGCUCUAGCUCACUGGCGCCACUGUGCUUGUCACCGGCGACAGCAAAAGCACAGGUUAGUCAUCCAAAUCUAAGGGCAUGUUCAGAUUGUAGCCAAAAUAAACCUUACUAAAUUUUGGCAAUGCCAAAAUUUUGGCAGGAUUUCUUUUGUAUUUAUCAAAUUUGGCAACAAACUAAACGUAGACAUUUUUUGGCAACUUUGUCAAAAAAUGGUAUGGUUGAAAAUGGCAUCAAUCUGAACAGCCCCUAAGUGGUUAUUCACCAACACGCUACAUAACAUCUAUCUACCAAAUUGUCCAUUAUAGAAUCAACCACGCGUGCAGCCGCUUCAUCGUGGAGGAGCUCGUGGGCUUCGGCGCAACAAUGCACGCCUGCACCAAUUGACGCGGAGCUGAGUAUAUACCAUGAGGAGUGGAUGAUCAAAAGCCUCACUAUCAUCGUCUCCGUCUGCAACGUGUUGGUGCGCACCGACAAAGAGGAGAUUGCCGGCAAGGUACGUACUUUGUUCGACGGCAAGGUCAACAUUCUUGUAAGUCCAUAAUUCUGCUACCAUAAUUUCGAGCAACAUAACACUAAUGAGUCACAUGUCACAUCAAUCCUUCUACACGAUGUCAAUCAAACGAUGCCAAUGUCAAUCUACCAUGUGUCUUUCAGCUCUUCCCUUAGUGGUAGUCCAAGUCCUCACUAUUGACUAAGAUUUAUUCCAAGCUUCCUACAAAUCAAUAGACUACCAUACCAAGAUUUCUUAUGACCUGACUCAUGUUAGUCGACGCAAGCACACGCGCUAUUGCACGAAAGAAAUACACUCCAUAACUUCAAAACUAAACACCAUCAUCGUGUUAGAAAUGAUGCCAUUUUUUUGUUACAAUUAUAUUCAUCGAUCAUACCCACAUGAUUUCAUAGUUCAUUAGGUGAUGGACCUGUAGCUACAGCCUAGGAUAAACAGUUAAUUUUGUUCAGUUAUUUGCAAGUUGCCUUCACUCAUUGGAACGCAGGGGCAUUUUUUCUAGUCAAGGAAAAAUAUAAAGACAGUAUGUCAGAGCACAGAAGGGUCUGUCUAAAACAGCAAUCUUAAGGUAGUCCAUUUACAUUAUCACUCUAGGAUAGGGUUUUAGCAGGUAACCAGGUAGAAUUUUUCUUUCUUUUUUUUUUUUGUUAUAACCCCACAACUAUAUGGUGCUGACAAUCAGGUGAAAUGCAUAACUAUAAAAUAGUGAACUAUAUCUAGUUAUUUUCAGUGUUGAAGUAUAAGUUUACGAGUGAUAGGAAAUUGUGUUUAGUGCAGUUUGCUGCCAAACUAAGGCCUAAUCUAAAAGGAGUAAUGUAAUUACAGUAGUAAUAGAAGAGGAAAAAAGAACUAUUGCACUAAUAUAUUUCAUCCAACACAUAAAGGGAGAAGAUAACCACAAUAAAUUUACUCCAAGAUAAAUAACUUAUAAAAUGAGGAAUCGAAGUGAACCUUUUUGAUAGAUGGGUCCUCAAAGAAAGGAGCAAACUCCAUUAGAACAUCCCUUCCACCAUCUAGCACAUCCACCCAUAUGCAUGUUUUGCCAUUUCCAAAAUCAGCCUCCCCAUCAGAAUUUCCUGAAUAGAUGCUAAAGCAUAUUACUUCUCCAUGACCAACUGGCGUCUCUUCUUUGACAUCAAUAUUUGCCACCUGCAUAAUAUUGUACUAUCCUAAAUUAGAAUGUAUGUUUGGAGCUUGAUAUGCAAUAAAACUGUAAAUAAUUCUGAGCAAAGCUUGCUACCACAGAAGUAGACUAUGAGCAUGUCAAACCAUGUAACUAGAAGAAACCAAUAAUUAGCAUUAGCAUUUAAUAUUUUACAUUCUUCAUGACAUCUCCUGUAAACUCUGCAACUUACAUUUUCAGAGAAGAUACAUAGGGGAAAAAAGGCACAAUCUAACAACAAACACUUGAGGUCAGCAAUAUUGAUGACCAAACAAGAUACUAUAGUAUCACCUAUCAGAAAUAUACUUCUUAUUGAUACUCUCACAAUUAUGAGGCAAAACCUAAAUAACAUAGCCAAAACUGAUAUACCGAUGAUAGAACUCAAGCAGGGUUUGGUGAAAUACCUCCGUGUCACAUGCAUGAAUAAAGCCUUUGUACUUUGUAGUAAGCAAUUUAACAACACUCCUAGCUGACUCAACAUUGUCGACAACCAAAACUUUGUCAUAGAUGGUAGCAAGCAACUUCCGUGCAUUUUUUGACUCAGUGGACAAGGAAGCUUUGUCCGGGAUAUUUAGCGUCACUUUCCUUGUAAUGCGUUUGUGCUCCUUUUUGUUUGGGAUAGCUUUAUCAACCACCAAAGUUGUCUCUGACUUGGAAACUUUAGGCAGAGAAGAUUCCACCGUAACGGAAUCGUGCCAAGGAAUUUCCUCCUUGGAGCCAUCAAGCAGGUUCAGUGGUUUGAUAUCAUUAUUAGCAACACUGAAUGGGGCAGGCACAGCAUGUGCUGACUGAUACAUCACACGAUGCUUAGCCAAAUCUGUAUCGACAUGUCUAUUUACAAUUGAAUUAGAUGGCCCUCUUUCUCUUUGAUU